This 975-nucleotide long non-coding RNA is filed under the name Triticum aestivum (bread wheat). Its description in RNAcentral is "long non-coding RNA (TAES_LNC023601)". The stretch from base 642 to 712 matches the Rfam family "tRNA". Lineage: Eukaryota; Viridiplantae; Streptophyta; Magnoliopsida; Poales; Poaceae. The record is from RNAcentral.
UGAGCGGGUCUCCUCCCAGGUGGGAUGAGAUUGCUUGUACAGCGCCAGCAAUGAAGGGGAAGAAUGUUUGGCUCCUCCUGUUUGUUUGAGGAGGCACGUUGGAUGGAUGGACGAGUGUUUACUCUGUUAUUAGAUAUUGAUGAUCAGUUGUAGGCUACCCGUAGUCUUACAGAUUGAUUUGCUUUUCGCUGAGCACUGAUUCUGAAUACUGUUAAUUGCGCUUUUGCUACCUGUUUUCAUCAGCAUUUAUACAUGGAUUUUGCUUAUCGUUGCUCACUAAGUGGAAUUUGGUGCAUGACACUGAGCUUACUUGCCCUGUUCUUUGAACUUUUGACUAUUACUCCCUCUGGAAGGAAAUAUAGUAGUGUUUAGAUUACAAAUUUAGAUCUAAACGCUCUUAUAUUUCUCUACGGAGGGAGUACUAUGUGCUGCAAUCAUAGGCUCCGCCUAUGAUAACUUUGCAUGUGCUUGAAAUGAUGUCUGCCGAAUGCACGCUAUAUUUUGUGUUUUGAUGACUGUUGGAGUUGUACUGAAAUUACGCAACAGACGUCUCGUUUUCGACACUUUCUACGUGAGGUGUUGUCUUCUGCUUCGUAGCGAAUUGAUGAUAUAGCAGCUAAAUAAGUCUCAUUCAGCAAGAAGCACCAGUGGUCUAGUGGUAGAAUAGUACCCUGCCACGGUACAGACCCGGGUUCGAUUCCCGGCUGGUGCAUUCAUUUUUUUGCCUGACGACGAAUGAUGUUUCGUUUUUGCCUGAUGAAAUGAUGCGCAUACUUUUCUUUUUUGAAUGCCACGAGAAGAAAGAAAGAAAGGGGGCCUAAAGACAAAAAAAAAACCCUUUUCCUCUGCUCAAGUUUCUAUGGAACAGAACACGUCAUGCGUGCGCGGUGUUCGCUUUCUGUCCAACGAAACCUAGCACACAACAAUCGACGCAACAGUCUGCCUGUGUCCUUUACUUUCGGCCAUGGAGUUUCG